RNAcentral lists this ribosomal RNA (401 nucleotides) under Staphylococcus haemolyticus. Its description in RNAcentral is "bacterial SSU rRNA". It matches the Rfam family "Bacterial small subunit ribosomal RNA", at positions 90 to 478 of the family's 1533-position model. The record is from RNAcentral. Lineage: Bacteria; Bacillati; Bacillota; Bacilli; Caryophanales; Staphylococcaceae.
CGUUAGCGGCGGACGGGUGAGUAACACGUGGGUAACCUACCUAUAAGACUGGGAUAACUUCGGGAAACCGGAGCUAAUACCGGAUAAUAUUUCGAACCGCAUGGUUCGAUAGUGAAAGAUGGUUUUGCUAUCACUUAUAGAUGGACCCGCGCCGUAUUAGCUAGUUGGUAAGGUAACGGCUUACCAAGGCGACGAUACGUAGCCGACCUGAGAGGGUGAUCGGCCACACUGGAACUGAGACACGGUCCAGACUCCUACGGGAGGCAGCAGUAGGGAAUCUUCCGCAAUGGGCGAAAGCCUGACGGAGCAACGCCGCGUGAGUGAUGAAGGUCUUCGGAUCGUAAAACUCUGUUAUUAGGGAAGAACAUACGUGUAAGUAACUGUGCACGUCUUGACGGUAC